Molecule: long non-coding RNA, 1283 nt
Organism: Heterocephalus glaber (naked mole-rat)
Lineage: Eukaryota; Metazoa; Chordata; Mammalia; Rodentia; Bathyergidae
Source: RefSeq, a predicted model, not a curated record
CCUCUCGAUUCUGAUCCUAAGUGAAAAUCAGCAGGGUACGCUUCAUAAUUACUGUUGUGCAAAUCCCAACCCUCCUCAGAGACUGAUACAACAGGACUAAGGCCCAGGUGUCAGUAUUUCUUUUUUUUCCAAGUUUACCAUGUCCACAGAAAGGCAAAUAUUUUGUGUUUGAAAUAAUGCUUAGCAGAAUCUGGAAAGGGUAUGGAGUGGGGAAUGGAGAAAGAAUAACAAGUAUAAGAGUACUGUUGGAUAGGAGGAAUAACUUCUCAUGUUCAAUGGCUCAGUAGGGUAACUAUGGCUGAUAACAAUUAAUUGAAUAUUUCUUUUCUUUUUCCCGCUAGGGAUCAAAUCCACAUCCUCACUAAAUGAAUAUUUCAAAGACUCAAGUGCCCCCAGGAUACCUUACCUUUAUCUUCAUAGCUCCACCUCUGCUGCAGCUUCAAGAAACCCAGGAUCAUUUCAAGGAUUGUCCGCCUCUGGUUGCUCUGUAAUGUUUCAAGGGGUACUGGAGUCAAAGAAUAUUUUAAAGGAUUUCAACUCUGCUAUUCUGGAGCUGGCUGCCACAGUUCCAUUACCCUGUAGAAUGUUGCUAAGGAAGGUGUCAAGAAGGUCCUCUGCAUCAGCACUCAGCACAGAGCGAGACAAACACGCAGUCAGGGAGUGAAGGGCUGCCAGGCCUUCUGCCUCCACCUGCUCACUUGCUGUCUGGAACACCUGAUGGAAGGAUCCCAUGGCUACUGAGGAGCAAGGAGUGACACUGGAGCAGCACCUGUGACAAAAGCUGGAUACCCCGUGCCCGAGUCUGGGGUUCAGGAUUCUCCAGAGAGGACCUGGAAGAGAGCAGGAGGGGAGAAUCUACCAUUACCCAGUUCAACCAUUUACAGGAAUAAAUAUUUUGCAAUCAGUCACACUCAUUCACUGGGCACAUGAGAGUUAAGCUCUGUUAAAAACAGUACUAGGAGGUGUUCCUGAGGUGUAUUACAGACACAAGUAUGGACCACGACCAGAAAAACUAACUCUCAAUCUGAUCCAGCAUCAUUAGAGGCACAUCUGAUACCCACAGCCAACUGAAGUUUUUUUUUGUCUCCAGACACCCUUAGUUGGCAACUAAUGGGUAUUGUGUUCUUUUUCCCUGUGGUAUGAAGGACUGAUAUUCCUCUGAAAUAGAGCUUAGCAGCUACCUACAGAGCUUGGAAGAUGACUGGUAACUGCAGAUCCUACCAAAACAGAAGAAAGAUAUAUUUUUGUAAAUUUCUGCUAAGGGAAAAAAUGCUAAGAGCAAA